GUGAGGAAUUUUGCGCAAUGGGGGCAACCCUGACGCAGCAACGCCGCGUGAGUGAAGAAGGCCUUUGGGUCGUAAAGCUCUGUCAACCGGGAAGAAGUUAUGAGAGUCGAACAGGCUUUUGUAUUGACGGUACCGGUGAAGGAAGCAUCGGCUAACUCCGUGCCAGCAGCCGCGGUAAUACGGGGGAUGCAAGCGUUAUUCGGAAUUAUUGGGCGUAAAGGGCGCGUAGGCGGUUUUGUCGGUCAGAUGUGAAAGCCCAGGGCUCAACCCUGGACGUGCAUUUGAAACAGCAAGACUUGAGUACGGGAGAGGAAAGCGGAAUUCCUGGUGUAGAGGUGAAAUUCGUAGAUAUCAGGAGGAACACCGAUGGCGAAGGCAGCUUUCUGGACCGAUACUGACGCUGAGGCGCGAAGGCGUGGGUAGCGAACAGGAUUAGAAACCCUUGUAGUCC
This 451-nucleotide ribosomal RNA is filed under the name uncultured Desulfobacula sp. RNAcentral describes it as "bacterial SSU rRNA". It matches the Rfam family "Bacterial small subunit ribosomal RNA", at positions 354 to 796 of the family's 1533-position model. Lineage: Bacteria; Pseudomonadati; Thermodesulfobacteriota; Desulfobacteria; Desulfobacterales; Desulfobacteraceae. The record is from RNAcentral.